Non-coding RNA from Octopus bimaculoides (California two-spot octopus), 70 nucleotides. The record is from Rfam. Lineage: Eukaryota; Metazoa; Mollusca; Cephalopoda; Octopoda; Octopodidae.
GGAUGUAAUGAUGCCUAAUCAUCUUUCGGGACCAAAAGUCAUUUGAGGAUAUUUCUUUAACUGAACAUCU